RNAcentral lists this transfer RNA (73 nucleotides) under Cabassous tatouay (greater naked-tailed armadillo). Its description in RNAcentral is "tRNA-Gln". It matches the Rfam family "tRNA". From Rfam's summary of the family: Transfer RNA (tRNA) molecules are approximately 80 nucleotides in length. Lineage: Eukaryota; Metazoa; Chordata; Mammalia; Cingulata; Chlamyphoridae. The record is from RNAcentral.
UAGAGUGUGGUGUAACAUGGUAGCACGGAGAUUUUUGAGUUCUCAGGUGAAGGUUCGAAUCCUAUGGCUCUAG